RNAcentral lists this transfer RNA (77 nucleotides) under Acidobacteriota bacterium. RNAcentral describes it as "Acidobacteria bacterium tRNA-Lys". It matches the Rfam family "tRNA". Rfam says of the family: Transfer RNA (tRNA) molecules are approximately 80 nucleotides in length. Their secondary structure includes four short double-helical elements and three loops (D, anti-codon, and T loops). RNAcentral also lists the same sequence under 1 other name. The record is from RNAcentral. Lineage: Bacteria; Pseudomonadati; Acidobacteriota.
GGGUGACUGGCAGAGAUGGCUGAUGCACUCGCCUCUUAAGCGAGACCAGUCUGGUUCGAUUCCAGCGUCACCCACCA